AUUAUUCUCAGAUCUGAAGUCAGUACAUCAAGAAUGUACCAUUUACAUGAAUCUCCUAAGACCACAGCACCAAGUGAAAAUCCUUUAAAGGCUCAAACCAAAGAACCCAUAAAAAACAUCACAGAGACACCAAAUCUUAACCGCGAGCCCUCACUGUCCCAAAUCUACAAAGUUGCUUCAACAGGACACAAAACUAGACAAAAACCCCUUCGACACAAAGAUUUCACACAGAGGAGAAUCACCCAAGGAAUGAAUAUCACAGGGAUGAUCCUUCAACAUCUCACACAGAGAGAUCGAAG
This 299-nucleotide long non-coding RNA is filed under the name Olea europaea (common olive). RNAcentral's name for it is "long non-coding RNA (OEUR_LNC005982)". Lineage: Eukaryota; Viridiplantae; Streptophyta; Magnoliopsida; Lamiales; Oleaceae. The record is from RNAcentral.